Neofelis nebulosa (Clouded leopard) is the source of this 2513-nucleotide long non-coding RNA. RefSeq lists it as uncharacterized. The record is from RefSeq and is a predicted model, not a curated record. NCBI's taxonomy places the organism in Eukaryota, Metazoa, Chordata, Mammalia, Carnivora, Felidae. The transcript is spliced from 4 exons.
AGUCAGACAGACAGCGUAGCAGAUGGCCGCGCGAGGGGGCGGGGUCCAGGCGGAGCGCGGGGGGACCCCAAGCGUCGGGGCGCGAGGGAACCAAUCAAUUCCCGCAGCCGCUCCGGGGCUAGAAAACAAGUGUAGACGCAGAGAUUCGCGCCCCACCAGCGGUCCCUAGUUUACGGUAGAAAACACGAUUUCCUUUCGAUACGAAAGCGCGUGUAGAGCGUAGUUCGGAGAGCCGGCGGUCCGCAGUAACUGGCUGGGGGAGGCGGUUUGCGGCUGCCCGGGGCGCUGAGCGCUGGGGCAGUUUCUCCUGACCUCUCCCUGAGUCGGGCCAGCCAAGGGGAAAGCCUCGAAUGGGAGAGAGGGGUGAAGGCAGAGGAUGGGUGAGGAAGGAAAGGGCUGAGAAAUGGCAAGAGCCCAUCCUGCCUCGGAAACUACAUAAUGGCAGGGAAGGACCGCCAGCAAGACUGGAACCAGUACAAGUUGCACAGUUGUUUGUGCAUUUGACUCAGCUACAGCAGUAGUUGCACCGGGAGGGGCAAAAUGUCCCCCAAGAGGUAGAGAAGAAAAAAUAGCAAUUGGAGUCGCACAGAACUUCUUAGAUCCUACUGUUGAAGUCUGUGGCUCCUCUCUGGUGAAAUGGAUCCUGGGAAGAUGUGGCACAGAAGGAGAGGAAAUUGUUACCUGUUGAGCUUAAACCCGUGACUUUCCCAUAAUCAUCCCGCAAGUUGCCUAUAACACGAAGAUCAAAAUUGAGGAUUUCUGGCUCCCAGUCUAGGGUUUGUCUUACUACACCAUAGGCUCUCCAACAGAAAGUGUUAGGACAUGAAAAUAUUUAAUAAAUCUGGCCUCUUAAUGUGAAAUAGGAGGGAGUGUGAAAGCCAAAUGUGUCUUGUGUAGUUCAACUCAUUUUCACCUGAGAAACAGUAUAACACAGUGGUUCUGACCUGGGACCCCAAAGGGUCCAUACAGUACCCUCUACACAAAUCCCAUCUCUAGCACUCACCAGCAAUGGGAACCUAGUUGAGUUAUUUAAUGUCUCCAUGCCUCCAUUUCUUUAUCUGUGAAAUGGAGAUGGUAAUUGUACCGAACUCAUAAGGUUGUGGGAGAUUUCAAUACAUUAAUAACUGUAAAGCUCCUAGGAGAAGGCCUGGACCGUAUUUACCACCAAGUAAUUAGGAGCAAUUCUAUUAACAGUAGGCUGUAUAAUAAAGACAAACUAUUUUUAGUUGAACAAAAGAACACUCUUUACGAAUAUUAAUAUUAUUAAUAUUUAUUCCUGCUGUGCUUAUUAGCCACCUCCUGCGGUGAAGGCGUGAAUACUUAAUCCUAAAACAGGGCCCAUUGUUCAGAUAAAUUGCCUGUAGACUGAAAAUCUUGUACUCUUGCGUGCCAUCAGACGUUUUGUGGACAAUUAGCACAUGACUAUCAUGAGUGCUCUUGCUAAUUAAAGUCGCAUUAAUACCAAAGAACUGUACAAUGGCUGGUUCUAUACUGUCAUUUCUGCAAGCUGCAUUGUUCCAAGGACAAAGCGGCUGAUGUACUGUUUCUUUCCUUUCAUAAUGCUGAGCAUGGGUAUCUGAUAGACUUGCUUAGGCUGGCAAACUUUUGAGCAGAAGUGCUAGAUUUGUAUGCAUCUUCGAGAAUUGGGCAGUUUGAAGCUAAAGUGAGCUAGGAAAGAAAUAGGAAGUGAAAAAGUAGAACGGAAAGACAUAGGUAGAUAGAGGAAGAAAAAAGAGGAAGGAGGAAAGAAGGAGACUUGAAAAGACAUGAAAGAUAAAUGAAACCACUUAAAUGGAGAAGAGUUUAAGAGCCAAACAGGAGACACUCCAGGCAGAAGGGUUUUCUAUUGAAGUGUUUCUGAUGCCAGACCAGUGCUUUGCAGGCUGUAAUGUACAUCAGAAUAGACCGGAGGACUUGUUAGAACAAUUUCCUGAGUCCCAUCUGCAGGGAUCCCGAUCCAAUAGGUUAGAGUGGAGCCUAAUGCAAAUUCUAACAAGUCCAGAGGGGGACACUGAGACUGCCGGUCUGAGGACACUUUGAGAACCUCUGGGUCAUACUAUAGUCACACAAAAUAAAAAUAGUAGUUCUCUGCUUUUUUUAAAUUGAGCUAUGUUUUUAUACAUAGUGAAUUGCACAGAUUAUAAUGGUCUUGGUUUGCUACCCUAAGCAAUUCCCUCCUAAGUCAUGUGAAGAUUUACCUGUCUCCAUCGAGGAUAGCAGGAGACUUUUUUGAACACAGUCCUAGUGUCCCCGAAUAAUAAAAUGAACUUCAGUGAGUUUUUUAGCUCUUUGAAGAAAAACAUAUAUUCUAUAACCUGGCAUUGAAUGCCAAAGAACUAGAAAGCACCUACAUUAUCUUGUUUAUUCCUGGAAUAUUCCCAGGCUCAUGUAAGCUAUAGCCCAUUUUUUUAACAUGAAAUUUAUUGUCAAAUUGGUUUCCAUACAACACACAGUGCUCAUCCCAACAGGUGCCCUCCUCAAUGCCUGUCACCAACUUUUCCCCUUCUCCCCCA